CGCAUGGGCACAUUCGCCCGCAUUCCGAUGGAAGAAUUAAAUACUCAAAAAUUCUAUUCUCUGCAACUAACAUUCUCUGCUUAGAGAAAUGGCCGACCAUUGAGUUUUCCGGUCCUUGCAUGUAAGUUGGGUCAUAAAGCAGCAUGAAUCUUGUGAAAUUUAAGUAAAGAGAAAUUAAAUGAUUCAUCAACUAGGGAUAGCAAUCUUACUCCUGAUUUGAGCAGGAAUUCAAGGAUCCCUUGCCUGAAACAGACAACAUACCACUAGAGAAAUGUUUGAUUUUUUGGUGACACCUAUCAUUGAUCAAUAACUUCAUCUAUCAUUGUUGACAUCCAUGAUCCAUGAAAUGAACCUUGUUUAUGAAACUUUUCUGAAGGACAAAUAUAUUACUAGCUAAGUCACUUCUCAUUUUGCCUGCUCUUUCAAAUAAACCAACGGAAAGGUGUAAAGCAAGAACACUUAAAACUUUCACUUAUCAUGGUUGAGAUGCUCCUUGUGCUGAUCUAUUAGCAUAACACUGCAGAUCACUUGGGGUUCUGUGUUGUAUUUUCGGCCUUCAUAUCUGCUAAGUGGUGAAUUAGCAGGGAUCACUUAGGAGUUAUAUGAUGGAGUUUGGACUUCCAUAUCUGGUAAAGUUGCUGGGAUCACUUAGGAGUUAUAUGAUGGAGUUUGGACUUCCAUAUCUGGUAAAGUUGCAGCUCAUAUAAGUAGGUACAGAAAACAACAUGAACCUUGUGAUUGCCAAAGUAAAUAUGAAUGAAUGAUUCAUCAACUGGGGUUUUUAAUCUGAGAUUGUACGCCAAACAGACAACAUAUCACUUCAGCAUUCCUUGAUUUUUGGUAACUUUUUUCUGCCAUUGACUGAUAUAUUCGGCUGUCAUUUUUUGACCUCCAUGAUCCAAAAAAAAAUGAACCUUCUUUAUUAAGCUUUGCUCAAGGACAAAUAUAUUUGCUAACUGUCUCUUUGUUUGCCUACUUUUUUCGGAUCGAAAACAAAUGUAAAACUGCAAUAACAUACAUUUUCUGGUUAUCAAUUCUUUUGUG
Long non-coding RNA from Solanum stenotomum, 1044 nucleotides. RefSeq lists it as uncharacterized. The transcript has 5 exons. NCBI's taxonomy places the organism in Eukaryota, Viridiplantae, Streptophyta, Magnoliopsida, Solanales, Solanaceae. The record is from RefSeq and is a predicted model, not a curated record.